This 416-nucleotide ribosomal RNA is filed under the name uncultured bacterium. RNAcentral's name for it is "bacterial SSU rRNA". It matches the Rfam family "Bacterial small subunit ribosomal RNA", at positions 355 to 775 of the family's 1533-position model. The record is from RNAcentral.
UCGAGGAUCUUCGGCAAUGGGCGAAAGCCUGACCGAGCGACGCCGCGUGUGCGAUGAAGGCCUUCGGGUUGUAAAGCACUGUCGUGGGGGAGAAAAGCCGCGCAAGCGGCUUGAUCGACCCCAGGAGGAAGCUCGGGCUAAGUUCGUGCCAGCAGCCGCGGUGAGACGAACCGAGCGAACGUUGUUCGGAAUCACUGGGCUUAAAGGGCGCGUAGGCGGGCCAUCAAGUCAGGGGUGAAAGCCCCCGGCUCAACCGGGGAAGUGCCUCUGAUACUGGUGGUCUCGAGGGAGAUAGGGGCGUGCGGAACUUCCGGUGGAGCGGUGAAAUGCGUAGAUAUCGGAAGGAACACCGGUGGCGAAAGCGGCGCGCUGGAUCUCUGCUGACGCUGAGGCGCGAAAGCCAGGGGAGCGAACGG